This is a long non-coding RNA of Phyllopteryx taeniolatus (common seadragon), 601 nucleotides long. RefSeq lists it as uncharacterized. The record is from RefSeq and is a predicted model, not a curated record. NCBI's taxonomy places the organism in Eukaryota, Metazoa, Chordata, Actinopteri, Syngnathiformes, Syngnathidae. The transcript is spliced from 3 exons.
GCUUGCUCUAUGAAAAAGAAGAGACAGCUAUUCAACUAAUAUUGAAAAUUUGACACCACAUUUUUAGAUAUUGUAGUUCUAUCCGUCCCUUCAUUUUCUAUCACGCUGGUCCUCAUUAGGGUUGUGGCUGAGCUGGAGGCUGCUUUUGGGAGAGACCCAACACCCUGGAGUCGUUGCCAGCCAAUCACGGUUUUCGGUGGUGGGUGAAAACAAAGUGGAAGAUGGCAGUAUGAGUCAAGAGCGAAGUGUUCCAUCCGUGUUCCUCGCACCCACGGCGUCAAGCCAGCCGCCUGUCCUCGCCACUGUUUGCCACACGUUCCAUGCCUUAACAACCCGCCAGCAUAUCUCAAGGACCAUCUCCAUUCCCCUUUGUUCAAUAAUACUUUUCAUCACAACCUUUCAGCCUCCGCCUGUUCUUGGUGUCACAGGUGUGUGUUCCGGUUGUUGUUUCCCCCCUGUCUCGUACACACCUGCUCCUGAGAGCAUCUUCACCACCUGUGCCUCGUUCACCCCAAUUACCCCUUGCAUUUAACCUCGUGUCUCAUUCUUUCUAGUCGCCAGUUCGUUGUACCUUGUCGUCGCGUUCCAGCGUUCCUUGUUU